RNAcentral lists this ribosomal RNA (305 nucleotides) under uncultured bacterium. Its description in RNAcentral is "bacterial SSU rRNA". It matches the Rfam family "Bacterial small subunit ribosomal RNA", at positions 337 to 638 of the family's 1533-position model. The record is from RNAcentral.
GCCUACGGGGGGCAGCAGUGAGGAAUAUUGGUCAAUGGGCGAGAGCCUGAACCAGCCAAGUCGCGUGAAGGAUGACGGCCCUACGGGUUGUAAACUUCUUUUGUCAGGGAGCAAUUGGGUCCACGUGUGGGCUUAGCGAGAGUACCUGACUAAGAAGCCCCGGCUAACUACGUGCCAGCAGCCGCGGUAAUACGUAGGGGGCAAGCGUUAUCCGGAUUCACUGGGCGUAAAGGGAGCGCAGGCGGCACGGCAAGCCUGGUGUGAAAACCCGGGGCCCAACCCCGGGAGUGCAUUGGGAACUGCCG